AUGGCGCUCUUAGCCUUAACCUUAAGCCCCAACACCUCUCUCCCUCUCCCUCUCCCUCUCCCUCUCCGCAUUAUCCAUUUCUCUCCAAUUUCUCAAUCCCUCUCCUUCACAAAUAACCGCUCCACCGCCCGAGCUCUACCUCUACCGUCGUCUUCUCCAAUGGCUUCCAGCGGAAGAGAGGUUCUUCCGCCUGCUCUCGAUUCUUCGUCGGAACCGCCGCCGAUCUUUGACGGAACUCCUAAGCUGUACAUAUCAUAUUCAUGUCCUUAUGCUCAACGCGCCUGGAUUACAAGGAACUGUAAGGGGCUUGAAGAAACAAUAAAACUGGUGCCUAUCGACCUGAAGAACAGACCAAGUUGGUACAAGGAAAAAGUUUACCCCGAAAACAAGGUACCUUCACUAGAACACAAUAACCAAGUUAAGGGGGAGAGUCUUGACUUGAUUCGAUAUAUCGAUACCAACUUUGAAGGGCCAUUGCUUUUUCCUAAGGAGGCGGCGAAGAGGGAGUUUGGGGAAGAAUUACUAGAAUACGCCGGAUCCUUCUACACGGCCGUGAUUACUUCUCUCAAGGGUAACACGAUGAAUGAAGCCGACGCGGCUUUUGAUCACAUCGAAACUGCACUCUCGAAAUUCAAUGACGGACCAUUCUUUCUCGGUCAAUUCAGUUUGGUGGACAUUGCCUAUGUUCCUUUUAUCGAGCGAUUUCAAGCCUUCUUUUUUGAUGUAAAGAAUUAUGACAUCGCUAUAGGAAGGCCAAAGUUCGCCCUAUGGAUUGAGGAGAUGGACAAAAUCGAGGCAUAUAAGAUAACCAAACGUGAUCCAAAGGAGCAUGUCGAGAGCUACAGAAAACGUUUCUUGUCCUCCCUAUGAAAUCCCAAACAGAAAAGAUCCGAGGCAGCGACAAAUAUCUAUUGUAAGAAUCUGGCCACUUAAUUCUCAGGAGUAAAAAGAAUCUAUUACUGGUAGACAUCUAUUCGAUAGAAUGAAGGAAGCAGAAAAAUGGCGCAGGAUGUGUGUACCUAUGUAUAUUUCGCGGUUGGGGAAGAGAAUCCUGAUGAUGCUGCGGAAGAAGAAGACGACGCGAGUGGCAUUUUCCAUUGCCAGUUUGCGAGUGUAGUCACAGCAACAGCUUCAGCGUUAAUUCCUGGAGCUCUUUCCUAACCGAAAGAAAAUUGAAAUUAAUUUGUUGUAAGAAGACAUAUGGAUGUAAAAUUGGAUACCUUGUCUAUUUAUCGAACUUUUCUGUGGCAAAAAUUGCUUUCAUUUUCACAAUGUUCAAA
RNA transcript from Andrographis paniculata, 1280 nucleotides. It is a transcript of the gene named protein IN2-1 homolog B-like, with no coding region annotated. The transcript has 11 exons. The record is from RefSeq and is a predicted model, not a curated record. Lineage: Eukaryota; Viridiplantae; Streptophyta; Magnoliopsida; Lamiales; Acanthaceae.